GAGGGGAGGGGGAGACGAGAGGAGAGGAGAGGAGAAAUGGAGAAGCGGAGGGUGAGAAGAGGAGAGGGGAAGGAGGAGAGGAGAGUCGGAAGGACAGGAGAGGGGAGGGAGAGGGGCAGAAGGAGAGAAGAGGAGAGGGGGAGAAGAGAAGAGGAGAGGGGAAGAAGAGGGGUGGUUGAGAAGGGGAGAAGAGAGGGUGAGGAGAGGAGAAGAGAGGGAGAAGAAGAUAAGAGAGAGGGGGAGGGGAGGGUAAGAAGAGGAGAAGAGACGGGAAAGUAACUGAGCUCUUCAUUAAGGCCAUUCUACUGCCAAUGUUUGUCUUUGGAGAUUGCAUGGCGGAGUGCUUGAUUUAUCCAUCUGUCAGGAAGGGGAGUGGCUGAAAUAGAAUCCACUAAUUUGAAGGGGUGUCCACAUACUUUUGUAUAUAUAGUAUCUCCAGGCUCAAAGCGUCAGUCCACCAGCUGAACUCUCAGUCAGACUGGUGGAUGGGACCACUUCCUGUUCUGGGACAGUGGAAGUCUUCCACGAAGGAGAGUGGUUGGGUCUAUGUUCUGUGUUGUGGAGCAUGAGAGAUGUUAUGGUUGUGUGUAGAGAGCUGGACUGUGGGAAUCCUGUAGCUGAAUCUAGAGGACCUCUGGCUGAAGAUGGAA
This 650-nucleotide long non-coding RNA is filed under the name Salmo salar (Atlantic salmon). Its description in RNAcentral is "lncRNA (ENSSSAG00000121174.1)". Lineage: Eukaryota; Metazoa; Chordata; Actinopteri; Salmoniformes; Salmonidae. The record is from RNAcentral.